UCCAAAAAAAGUAAAAGUGUUUAUAAGGAAAAUUUCACACAAAGGUGCUGGUAAAUUUUCAUGAGCAACUCCCUGCUGCCCCCAAGAACCACAAAUUACAACAGAAUUGUGGAGAACUAAAUAUAAGAUUGGAAAAAUGAGAAGCUAUCAGUAGCUGAAGUUGGCAGAUUCUCCCCUCCUUAUGAAUGACCAAAUUCAAGAGAUUUCCUCUCAUAAGUUUUUGACAAAGUCUACAAUCCUGUCCAUCAAUUCAACUGCAGCAGGCAAUGUGAACAGGCCUGCGUCAAAGAGGUUUAGCACCCCAUGAAAUCCAUUCUCAACAUGGAACCAGCUGACUUUCACCCCAUUGUCCUCCAGACGUUUCUUGUACAGCAGUGCAUCAUCUCAUAAUACAUCGUACUCGCAGCUCACAAUUAGGGUUUCAGGAAGCUUCUGGAUGACAAAGUCUUCAGCAAAAAGGCAAGAAAUAUCUGGUUCCAAUAGCUCUCGCAAUUGCCUAUAGACUUCAGGUUCAUAAGGAGCAAGUGGGACGUGUUUGUAGCCUCUUGCCUUAAAUCUUUCUGGAAUGUUGUCCGGACUCAACCACUUCCCAUAUUUCAGUCUCAUUUAAUCUGGCACAUGAGAGCCCUUCAGGAGCUGGCCUGCCAAAGAAGUGUUCUUUCCAAUGUACUUCAUGAUAAAGUAAGCAACAUCUUCCCGGAACAAGGGGGACAUUGAGCUGUUCUGCUGAUAGGAAGGCAGUUUGAAGUCUAUAGCCUGGAAUUUCCCAUAGAUCAGUACUUGAGCCCGUAGUUUUGGAAGGUCUGAUCUAUCCACCAGUUUCUGGGCAACAACAGUAGCAUAAUUGCCCCCCGCACUGUCCCCACCAACGAUGAUCUUGGAAGGAUCCACCCCAUGGGAAGCUGCAUUUUGAAUUAAGUGUAUGGUAGCAGCAAGGCAGUCCUUGUACUGAGUGGGAGGAAGAUGCUCAGGAGACAGGAGGUAGCUGCAGAAUAAAACAGAAGCAAAGAGGUAAGCUUCCAGAAUCUUUUCCAAACACAUUCGUGAUCACAUAAGAACACCAGAAGGGCUUGCUAGAUCAGGCUCAUGGCCAUCUACUACAGCAUCCUGUUCUCACCAGGUCCAAGCAGCUUCCUAUGAGGCACCUGCAAGCAGGGCCAAAGCACAAGGCCCUCUUCCCGCCUGUGGCUUCCAGAAACUGGUCUUCAGCAGCACUCCUGCAAGUAUCCAUGGACUGCCCUCCAAAUUCUUGCUCAAGCAUUACUGUAUAUGUGGGAUGUGCAACCCAACUGGGAUGUACACCCAGUGCUAUUUUUCUAGGAAUAAAAGGUCCAGAAAUCUUCAUGAGUACCUCCCUCAUUCUCUAAGAUUGGCAACGAUGCCCACCUAAGAGGUGCCAGAACCUACCUGAGAGGUGCUGGAACUGAGUUCCCCCUGGAAAAAAGACCUGUGCAGAUAGUGAACCAUCAAACACAUGCGGAAUCCUCUUCAAGAGGCAUUACCUCAGGUCAAGAACACAUUCCAGGCACAUAAGAUCAAAGGGGGCCUUCUCAGUAGUGGCACCUGCCCUGCAGAACGCCCUCCCACCAGAUGUCAAUGAGAAAAAUAACUACCAAACUUUUAGAAGACAUCUGAAGGCAGCCCUGUUUAGGGAAGCUCUUAAUGUUUAAUAGGUUAUUGUAUUUUAGUGUUUUGUUGGAAGCAACCCAGAGUGGCUGGGGAAGCCCACCCAGAUGGGCGGGGUGUAAAUAAUAAAUUGUUGUUGUUGUUGUUGUUGUUGUUCGUGAGUCCUGAAGGCAAGAGGCACAGCUGACUGAAUGUGUGUGACAUUUGAACCCUGGUUCUGAAGGGUCCACCCCCUGCUUCACAUACGUGUGUGUAUCCAGCCCUUCCAAUGCUGAUGGAUCACCAAAAGCUGAUUGACACAGUAAAAGAUCAUAAAGACACAAAAAAAUAAAGACACAAGGGAGCACAGAUAAAACAAUGCUCAGGAGACAGGCAGUAACUGGAGAAUAAACAAGGCCUUAUGCCCAGUUCGUAGUCCCCCCACGGAAUGUCUUAGGUGCAUGAAGCUCUGAUUUGCAAUCAUGGAACAAAAUGUUGACAGCUUUCAUGGGGAGCCUUUUUCUCCUGUGAGGAAUAUGGCAAGGGAUGCCACAAAUAAAUGCAACAACAUAGAAUCAUAGAAUCAUAGAGUUGGAAGAGACCACAAGGGCCAUCGAGUCCAACCACCUGCCAAGCAGGAAACACCAUCAGAGCACUCCUGACAUAUGGUUGUCAAGCCUCUGCUUAAAGACCUCCAAAGAAGGAGACUCCAUCACACUCCUUGGCAGCAAAUUCCACUGUCGAACAGCUCUUACUGUCAGGAAGUUCUUCCUAAUGUUUAGGUGGAAUCUUCUUUCUUGUAGUUUGGAUCCAUUGCUCCGUGUCCGCUUCUCUGGAGCAGCAGAAAACAACCUUUCUCCCUCCUCUAUGUGACAUCCUUUUAUAUAUUUGAACAUGGCUAUCAUAUCACCCCUUAACCUCCUCUUCUCCAGGCUAAACAUGCCCAGCUCCCUUAGCCGUUCCUCAUAAGGCAUCGUUUCCAGGCCUUUGACCAUUUUGGUUGCCCUCCUCUGGGCAGGUUCCAGUUUGUCAGUGUCCUUCUUGAACUGUGGUGCCCAGAACUAGACACAGUACUCCAGGUGAGGUGUGACCAGAGCAGAAUACAGUGGCACUAUUACUUCCCUUGAUCUAGAUGCUAUACUCCUAUUGAUGCAGCCCAGAAUUGCAUUGGCUUUUUUAGCUGCCGCGUCACACUGUUGGCUCAUGUCAAGUUUGUGAUCAACCAAGACUCCUAGAUCCUUUUCACAUGUACUGCUCUCAAGCCAGGUGUCCCCAUCUUGUAUUUGUGCCUCUCAUUUUUUUGCCCAAGUGCAAUACUUUACAUUUCUCCCUGUUAAAAUUCAUCUUGUUUGUUUUGGCCCAGUUCUCUAAUCUGUCAAGGUCGUUUUGAAGUGUGAUCCUAUCCUCUGGAGUGUUAGCCACCCCUCCCAGUUUGGUGUCAUCUGCAAAUUUGAUCAGGAUGCCCUUGAGUCCAUCAUCCAAGUCGUUGAUAAAGAUGUUGAAUAAGACCGGGCCCAAGACAGAACCCUGUGGCACCCCACUAGUCACUCUUCUCCAGGAUGAAGAGGAACCAUUGAUGAGCACCCUUUGGGUUCGGUCAGUCAGCCAGUUACAAAUCCGCUGAGUGGUAGCAUAGUCCAGACUGCAUUUUACCAGCUUCUUUACAAGAAUAUCAUGGGGCACCUUGUCAAAUGCCUUGCUGAAAUCAAGGUAGGCUACAUCCACUGCGUUCCCUUCAUCUACCAGGCUUGUAAUUCUGUCAAAAACGAGGUCAGGUUAGUCUGACAUGACUUAUUUUUCAGAAAUCCAUGCUGACUAUUGGUGAUCACAGCAUUCCUUUCUAGGUGCUCACAGAGUGUUUGCUUAAUGAUCUGCUCCAGAAUCUUCCCUGGUAUUGAUGUCAGACUGACUGGGCGGUAAUUAUGUGGGUCCUCUCUUUUCCCCUUUUUGAAAAUAGGGACAACAUUUGCCCUCCUCCAGUCUGCCGGGACUUCGCCUGUUCUUCAGGAAUUCUCAAAGAUGACUGCCAGUGGUUCUGAGAUCACAUCUGCCAGUUCUUUUAAUACUCUUGGAUGCAGUUCAUCUGGCCCUGGAGACUUGAAUACAUCUAAACUAGCCAAGUAUUCUUGUACUAUCUCCUUAGUUAUUCUGGGCUGUGUUUCCUCUGCUGAAUCAUUUGCUCCAAAUUCUUCAGGUCAGGCAUUGUUUUCUUUAUCGGAGAAGACUGAGGCAAACAAGGCAUUGAGGAGUUCAGCCCUUUCUGUGUCCCCUGUUUGCAUUUCACCAUCUUCUCCUCUGAGUGACCCCACUGUUUCUUUGUUCUUCCUUUUGCUACGAACAUACCCAUAAAAGCCUUUUUGUUGCUUUUAACCUCUCUAGCAAGCCUGAGUUCAUUCUGUGCUUUAGCUUUUCUGACUUUGUGUCUACACGUGCUGGCUAUUUGUUUGAAUUCCUCUUUGGUGGUUUCCCCCCUUUUCCAUUUUUUGUACACAUCCUUUUUUAAUCUUACCUCAGUUAAAAGUUCUUUAGAUAGCCACCCUGGCUUCUUUAGGCACCUUCCAUGUUUCCGUCUCAUUGGUAUUGCCUGACGUUGUGCUUUUAGUAUCUCCCUCUUAACAAACUCCCAGCCAUCAUGAACUCCCUUUCCUUUUAGUAUUACUGUCCAUGGGAUCUCACCCAGCACUUCCCUAAGUUUUAUGAAGUCGGCUUUCUUAAAGUCAAGAAAUUGAGUCCUAGUAUGCUUGGCUGCUCCUUUCCGCUGUAUAGUAAACUUCAGAAGAGCAUGAUCACUCGCGCCUAAUGAUCCUUCCACUUCUACCCCACUAACCAGGUCAUCAACAUUGGUUAGGACCAGAUCUAAAAUGGCUGUUCCUCUUGUUGCUUCUCCCACUUUCUGGACAAUGAAGUUGUCUGCAAGGCCAGUGAGGAAUCUCUUUGACCUUAUGCUCUUGGCUGAGUUUGACAUCCAACAAAUAUCCGGGUAAUUGAAGUCCCCCAUUACUACUAUCUCCCUUCCUUUUGCAUGCUUGGCCAUCUGUUCCAGGAAGGCAUCAUCUAUGUCCUCCGUUUGGCUUGUGGAUCUAUAGUAAACUCCCACAAUGAGGUCACUGUUAUUCUUCUCUCCCUUAAUUUUGACCCAAAUGCUCUCACUUUGGCUUUGAGGUUCUAAAUCUUGGAUCUCUUCACAGGUAUACACAUCCCUGACAUAUAACGCCACUCCUCCUCCUUUCUUGUCUGGUCUGUUUCUCUGAAAUAGAUUGUAUCCCCCAUUAUUACAUUCCAAUCGUGGGACUUAUCCCACCAGGUUUCAGUGAUGCCUAUUAUGUCAUAUUUAGUUUGCUGUACCAAGAGCUCAAGCUCAUCUUGUUUAUUUCCCAUGCUUUGCGCAUUAGUGUACAGACAUUGAAGUCCAUUAAUCAUUCCCCGUGUCUCUUAUUUAAGGAUUUUUCCUCCCACCACUAGGUCUGCGUGCUGUUUGCUCCAUUUGGUCUAUGACAUUUGGAUGAUCAUCUUCAUCAAUUGAUAGACUCCUACCUUCAGGAGCACUGUCUCCCUCCCCCACAUUAGUCAGUUUAAAGCCCUCCUGAUGAGGUUUCUGAGAUUUUUGGCAAAAACAUUCCUCCCAACCGUUGUGAGGUGCAGCCCAUCGCUUGCCUGAAGUCCAUCUUCAAGAAACUGCAGUCCGUGAUCUUAGAAUCCAAACCGUUCCUGUUUACACCAUUUGCGAAGCCAGCUGUUCACUUCCACUAUUUUUCCCUCUCUCCCUGGGCCACGUCGUUCAACUGGGAGGACAGAUGAGAUGACAAUUUGUGCAUUUAAUUGCUUCAAUUUCCUGCCCAGAGCCUCGUAGUCUCUUUUGAUCUUCUGGAGGCUAUUGCUUGCAGUGUCAUUGGUUCCCACAUGAACCAAGAGGAAGGGGUAUUUGUCAGUGGGUUUUAUGAUUCCUUGCAGUCGUUCAGUUACAUCUUGGAUCUUAGCCCCGGGGAGACAGCACACUUCCCGAGACAUCUUGUCAGGCCCACAGAUCACUGCUUCUGUUACCCUGAGCAGGGAAUCCCCUAUCACCACUACACGCCUCCUCUUAUGUUUGGUUGGGGUUCUUCCGUGAGCUGUCCAUUCCAAGGUCGCCUGCACAUUCCCUGAGGACUGACUUUGCUGCUCAUCUUCAUAUACCUGAUCGACUGUAAUGAGGGAGAGAUCCUCAAAUGGAGUCUGCUCUUCGUCUUCCAUGCUAGGGGAGAGGACCUCAAAGCGACUGUGUAUUUCUAAACAGUCAGAGCGAACCCUGGGCCUCCUACUUCUUUGAGUCACGUUUCUCCAUGUAUCUGGCUCCUGUGUUGGUGAACUAGCCUCCUUCUGAUACUUCUGUGAUGCUUUUGGGUGGACUUUGGCUAAGGGGUUGGGCAAUUUCUAAAGUCUUUAAAAGCUGUUACACACCUUUGUUUGGGGCCCUCACCUUGUCUCAAGGGAGGGAUUCUGUUGAAACCGAAAAAUAAAGGUUUUCCUUGCUUUCCUUCUACUGGUUCCUGCCUCCACCCAUUUUCCUCCAGUUGAUAAUGGUUGUAGGAGACACUGAAUCCCUUGAUGGAGAGUUGGGCUGUAAAAGCCAUCCUUAAAUCUUUCUAUCACACUAGUAGCCACGGAUAGUCUUCUCCAAGAAUGUGUCUUAUCAUCUUUUAAAGCCAUCUAGGUUGGUGGCCAUUUUAUGGACCUCCAUUGGAGUUGAUAAAUGGAUUGCUUAUACAGGCAUCCCUCCAUCAUGCAUGGAUUGGGGGUGGGAGGGGUAGGUGGAACAGACACCUCAGGUGAUGUAAGACGCCAAGGUGGCAUCCUUUGGUACUCCACUGUCUUCACCAACAGCGGGGAAGCAGUACCACAAUUGGCAUUGAUUUCCAGUGAGAUCUCACCAAAAUGACAUGACCAUAAUUUUGGAGCAUAUCAAGGAGGUGUGGGUCACGGCACUGUGUUUCAAUGGUUCCACUCCUACCACCAGAGCCAUUUCUAGAAAGUAGUAGUGGGAGACCACUAUUUGGUGCCAUAGGAACUGGAAUUUGGUGUUUCAUGCUAUUUAAAAAUCUCUAUCAAGCUGCUGGGAGGUGUUAUCAAGAGAGAUGAUGUGAGGUAUUAUCUACACGUGGGUGACACCCAUCUCUUAUUCCCUAUGCUGUUAAACAUCUCUAUUAAGCAGCUGGAAGUUGUUGUCAGGAGAGAUAGCAUCAGGGAUCAUCUACGUGUGGGUGACACCCAUCUCUAUCAUUCUGUUCCAUCUAAAUUAAGAAAGGCAGGCAAAAUGUGAUCUACAUGCCUUGGAUGGGCUAAUGAAUUGGACAUGGGCCAAUAAACUGAAACAGAUUCCUGAAAAGAGCUGAAAGGAGUCAUUUAGGUUGACCACCUGCAAUUCAGUAGAAGUGUUAGACCGCGCCUUGGAUGGGCUAAUGGAUUAGAUAUGGGCCAAUAAACUGAAACAGAUACCUGAAAAGAGAUAAAAGGGACCCAUGGAGUCAUCUAGGUCAACCACCUACAUUGCAGGAAUCACACCCAAAAAUCCCUAACAGGUUGCCAUUCAACUUCUGCUGACAAAACUUCCAACAAAGGAGGUUAAACCGCCUUCUGAGCUAAUCCGUUCCAAUGUUGAUCAGCUCUAACCCUCAGAAAGUUAUUCCUAAUGUAUAGUCUGAAUCUCCUUGCUUAUCAUUUGAAUCCCUUGGUUCAAGUCCUACCCUCUGAAGUAGCAGAAAACAAGCUUGCUCCAUCUCCCAUGUGACAGCCCUUUAUAUAUUCGAAGAUGGCUACUAUAUCACCUCUCUGUCCUCUUCUCUAGGCUAGACAUACCCAACGGCAUCAAUGAUUCCUUAUAAGGCUUGGUUUCCAGACCCUUGAUCAGCCUGAUCUCCUUCCUCUGCACAAAUUCCAGCUUAUCAAUUGUCCUAUUUAAAUUGUGGCGCCCAGAACUGGACAUAGUCCUCCUGGUGGUCAAGGCAAAAUGGAGUGAAACUGUUACUUCUCUUGAUCUGGAACUAUACUUCUGUUGAUACAGCCUAGAACAGCAUUAGCAGUGCAGAUCUCCAGCCAACCAAUAAAUACUAAAAUGGAAAUAGAAGGUUGAGUUGUCCAUUUACAAAAUUCAUAUAUAAUGGUACCUCGGUUUUCAAAUGUAAUCCAUUCCAGAAGACCGUUCGAGUUCGAAAACAUUCGAAAUCUGAAAACUCAGCACGGAAGCCUGAAUACAGAAAACUCAAAACAGAAAACUCAAUAUGGAAUCCACAUGGCACGCCUUACUUCAGAGGCAAAUUUGGAAACCAAAGCAUUUACUCCAUGGUUUAUGGCAUUUGAAAACAGAAAUGUUCAUCAACUGAGACGUUUGAAAACCGAGGUACCAUUGUGCUAGUGAAAACAAUAGAGAAAUGCAUUAUAUUAGAGCAAAUGGCUUCGAAUCAUGUGUAUAUUAGUCAAAACUCCAUAUGAAGUAAAAGUAUUUAUUACGAAAAUUUCACACUAAAAUGUGCUGGUGAAUUUUCAUGAGGAAUUCCCUGCUGCCCCCAAGAACCACAUUUUGUUGCAGAAAUAUGGAGAAAUGAAUAUAAUAUUGGGAAAAUGAGAAACUAUCAGAAGUUGAAGUUGGCAGAUUCUCCCCUCCUUAUGAAUGACCCACAAAUUCAAGAGAUUUCCUCUCAUAAGUUUUUGACAAAAUCUAUGAUGCUGCCCAUUAAUUCAACUGCAGCGGGGAAUGUGAAGACACCUGAGUCAAAGAGGCUUAUCACCCCAUGAAACCCAUUCUCAACAUGGAACCAGUUGACUUUCACCCCAUGGUCCUCCAGACGUUUCUUGUAUAGCAGUCCAUCGUCUCGUAUUAUGUCGUACUCACAGCUCACAAUUAGGGUUUCAGGAAGCUUCUGGAUGACAGAGUCUUCAGCAAAAAGGCAAGAAAUAUCAGGUUCCAAUAGCUCUCGCAAUUGCCUAUAGACUUCAGGUUUAUAAGGAGCAAGUGGGACUUGUUUGUAGCCUCUCACCUUAAAUCUCUCUGGAAUGUUGU
Podarcis lilfordi (Lilford's wall lizard) is the source of this 8638-nucleotide non-coding RNA. The record is from the annotation of a GenBank genome assembly. Lineage: Eukaryota; Metazoa; Chordata; Lepidosauria; Squamata; Lacertidae.